AUAUAUGUUUCGGUUUUGUAUUUGGUUCGCAAGAUUCUUUCUGUGAGUUCGUGUGUCGAAACAUAUUCUGUUGUGUCUGGGGAGAGUGCAGAGAGAGAGAG
Long non-coding RNA from Octopus sinensis (East Asian common octopus), 101 nucleotides. RefSeq lists it as uncharacterized. The record is from RefSeq and is a predicted model, not a curated record. Lineage: Eukaryota; Metazoa; Mollusca; Cephalopoda; Octopoda; Octopodidae. The transcript has 3 exons.